GCGGACGGGUGAGUAAUGCUUGGGAAUCUGGCUUAUGGAGGGGGAUAACUACGGGAAACUGUAGCUAAUACCGCGUAAUAUCGGAAGAUUAAAGACUGGGACUUUUGCCAGUUGCCAUAAGAUGAGCCCAAGUGGGAUUAGGUAGUUGGUGGGGUAAAGGCCUACCAAGCCAUCGAUCUCUAGCUGGUCUGAGAGGAUGACCAGCCACACUGGAACUGAGACACGGUCCAGACUCCUACGGGAGGCAGCAGUGGGGAAUAUUGCGCAAUGGGGGCAACCCUGACGCAGCCAUGCCGCGUGAAUGAAGAAGGCCUUCGGGUUGUAAAGUUCUUUCGGUGAUGAGGAAGGUUGUGAUGUUAAUAGCAUGACAAAUUGACGUUAGUCACAGAAGAAGCACCGGCUAACUCCGUGCCAGCAGCCGCGGUAAUACGGAGGGUGCGAGCGUUAAUCGGAAUAACUGGGCGUAAAGGGCACGCAGGCGGUGACUUAAGUGAGGUGUGAAAUCCCCGGGCUUAACCU
RNAcentral lists this ribosomal RNA (519 nucleotides) under Canicola haemoglobinophilus. RNAcentral's name for it is "bacterial SSU rRNA". It matches the Rfam family "Bacterial small subunit ribosomal RNA", at positions 98 to 615 of the family's 1533-position model. Lineage: Bacteria; Pseudomonadati; Pseudomonadota; Gammaproteobacteria; Pasteurellales; Pasteurellaceae. The record is from RNAcentral.